RNAcentral lists this long non-coding RNA (1339 nucleotides) under Salmo salar (Atlantic salmon). RNAcentral's name for it is "lncRNA (ENSSSAG00000086255.1)". The record is from RNAcentral. Lineage: Eukaryota; Metazoa; Chordata; Actinopteri; Salmoniformes; Salmonidae.
ACUGUAGCUCCUCGCUCCACUCCGCUCACAUACUCUGCUCCCUACUGUAGCUCCUCGCUCCACUCCGCUCACAUACUCUGCUCCCUACUGUAGCUCCCAUGAUGCUCUUUCAAAUACAGCCACUCCAAUGCGUUCUGUACUGUAUAUAUUUGAAGUUGCCUUUGUGUGAAGAGAAAAUUAAGAGAACUCAACUGCUUUAAGACUAAAACCUUAAGAACCGUCUAAAGACUGAAUUGAAGAGGAGGUAUAUGUUCUGUAGCUUUGAGGUUCAGCGCAAUAUGUGGUUUCUUCUAUCCCUUUUCAUUACUACUUUGCACAUUGUGACCCAGGCCUUUUUUAAAAUCGGCUUUUAACAAAGAUAUAAAUACUGUGACUGCAGGUUUCUUACCAUUUAUCAGUCUCUUAUCAUGAUAGAAACUAAAGAAGAACACUCCCUCAUCUCCUGCUUAUUCAGUGGUCCUAAGGUUUUCCCUUUGUUCAUGGACGUUGCGUGUGUCUCAUCGUCUGUAGAUUGGAUACAGAACUAAGAGCUGUGUGUCUCAUCGUCUGUAGAUUGGAUACAGAACUAAGAGCUGUGUGUCUCAUCGUCUGUAGAUUGGAUACAGAACUAAGAGCUGUGUGUCUCAUCGUCUGUAGAUUGGAUACAGAACUAAGAGCUGUGUGUCUCAUCGUCUGUGGAUUGGAUACAGAACUAAGAGCUGUGUGUCUCAUCGUCUGUAGAUUGGAUACAGAACUAAGAGCUGUGUGUCUCAUCGUCUGUAGAUUGGAUACAGAACUAAGAGCUGUGUGUCUCAUCGUCUGUGGAUUGGAUACAGAACUAAGAGCUGUGUGUCUCAUCGUCUGUAGAUUGGAUACAGAACUAAGAGCUGUGGGUGUCAGUCAGUUGUCUGGUUUGAGUCUGUGGUACUUCUGAGCUAUUGUGAAUAUUUUUAAAAGAGGAACCCGUUGUUGUGAGUAAAUACUGCCAGUUAAGAUGAAGGCGAAAUGACAACCCAAAUAAUUACUCUAGCUUUUAGCGAAAAGGUUAUUUCUUAACUAGCUACUUACCAUGUUUUCCAAAUCACAGACUAUUGGACUGUAGAUAUUAUAUUGGACAAUGUUUAGGGUUGGAUAAUCACGGUCUGAGAAUGAGACAUAAGAAAUAGUUCAGAUGGAAUGUAAGUAAUGGCUUUAAACAAGGAAUGUAAAGCAGUGUAUUUGACUAACAUAGUUGUAUCACGGCAGGUCACUGACCUAAUAGUAUUACAGAAUCUGACCAGAUUUACAACCCAAACAAGUGUGAACAGUUCUAGGGGCUACAUUAUACAAUAAGGAUUGUGUUAUAUAUAUAUAUAUGUGU